RNAcentral lists this ribosomal RNA (253 nucleotides) under uncultured bacterium. RNAcentral's name for it is "partial 16S ribosomal RNA". It matches the Rfam family "Bacterial small subunit ribosomal RNA", at positions 524 to 776 of the family's 1533-position model. The record is from RNAcentral. RNAcentral also lists the same sequence under 1 other name.
UACGUAGGGUGCAAGCGUUGUCCGGAAUUAUUGGGCGUAAAGAGCUCGUAGGCGGUCUGUCGCGUCUGCUGUGAAAACUCGGGGCUUAACCCCGGGCCUGCAGUGGGUACGGGCAGACUAGAGUGCGGUAGGGGAGACUGGAAUUCCUGGUGUAGCGGUGAAAUGCGCAGAUAUCAGGAGGAACACCGGUGGCGAAGGCGGGUCUCUGGGCCGUAACUGACGCUGAGGAGCGAAAGCAUGGGUAGCGAACAGG